Molecule: ribosomal RNA, 492 nt
Filed under: uncultured bacterium
Lineage: Bacteria
Description: partial 16S ribosomal RNA
Rfam family: Bacterial small subunit ribosomal RNA
Source: RNAcentral
AGUGAACGCUGGCGGUAGGCCUAACACAUGCAAGUCGAACGGCAGCACAGUAAGAGCUUGCUCUUACGGGUGGCGAGUGGCGGACGGGUGAGGAAUACAUCGGAAUCUACUUUUUCGUGGGGGAUAACGUAGGGAAACUUACGAUAAUACCGCAUACGACCUACGGGUGAAAGCAGGGGAUCUUCGGACCUUGCGCGAUUGAAUGAGCCGAUGUCGGAUUAGCUAGUUGGCGGGGUAAAGGCCCACCAAGGCGACGAUCCGUAGCUGGUCUGAGAGGAUGAUCAGCCACACUGGAACUGAGACACGGUCCAGACUCCUACGGGAGGCAGCAGUGGGGAAUAUUGGACAAUGGGCGCAAGCCUGAUCCAGCCAUGCCGCGUGGGUGAAGAAGGCCUUCGGGUUGUAAAGCCCUUUUGUUGGGAAAGAAAAGCAGCAGGUUAAUACCCCGCUGUUCUGACGGUACCCAAAGAAUAAGCACCGGCUAACUUCGUG